UCGUCGUGUUCGGUUGUCAUAUUGACAAGUGUCGUUCCGUAAAUUGCAAUAAUUAUUCGAAUUGUUAUUGCUGCUGGUAAAGUGCAAGUGUUUCGCGUUUGUUAAAUGUAAAUGAGCAAGUGCGGGUCGGGUGUGAAAAUGUGUUUAUGCAAAAUGUGUUCGUUGUGUUUCUUACUUAUGCUACGGGGCAGCAGCAGCAAUAACUAACACAAGUACACAAGCAGGACAAGUGAAAAUUAGACCAUGCUUGCGUGUGCUUGUGCGUGUGUGUAAUUAUAUUAAAUUCUUGCAAUUGAAUUAUUGUAUUUUACACAAUGCAUGUACAAUAAAACAAUUUUGCAUAUCUAAAUACAUGAAAACACAAAUGCAAAACCAAGUGAACUUUUCAUUUUGCACAAAUUUUUUCAGCGCGUCAACUUUUUUUGUGUGCUUGUGUGACAGAAUAACGGAAUUAGAUGUCACACAUUUUGGCGCUUGCAGAACAGCAAGAAGUGAAAGCAAUACUCGUCGACAAUGCGUAUCUUAAUGCCCGGAUUUGGAUGGCCAGCUGUUGCUGCAUUGCGGAUGCCAAAACUCAUUGUAACUAUGCCAACUUCGGACAUGGCAUAACCCGAAUUAUGUAAAUCCAAAUUGAAAACGUAAAAUAUUCGAAAUGUUCUGCAUCCCAUCGAUGUGAAAUUUGAUCAACUAAUAAAGCAAAGCAUUUUUUCAAUAUGAGCAAAACUGGCAGCCUGACUGACUGAUUGCCAAUCAAUACACAGAAGAGAAUACUUCACACUCUGCUCUGGACGAUAUUUUCCGGAAAAAUAAGCUCCCCUUUCGUCGAUGGAUUUAAUGCCAACUGAAGAGAUUUAUUAUGCUUAACAUUACGGUUCACUUAUUGCUGCAGAACUUUUGUGGAGAAAAAUAGGGUUUUCAACUAAAUGUUUGCCUCUUUUACUUUUUGUGACACUUUAAAAUGACAAACAAAUAAAAAAUGUCACCAGAAAAGGAUUACAAAUAAAAUUU
Long non-coding RNA from Drosophila albomicans, 1008 nucleotides. RefSeq lists it as uncharacterized. The transcript has 10 exons. The record is from RefSeq and is a predicted model, not a curated record. Lineage: Eukaryota; Metazoa; Arthropoda; Insecta; Diptera; Drosophilidae.